RNAcentral lists this ribosomal RNA (309 nucleotides) under uncultured bacterium. RNAcentral's name for it is "partial 16S ribosomal RNA". It matches the Rfam family "Bacterial small subunit ribosomal RNA", at positions 47 to 300 of the family's 1533-position model. The record is from RNAcentral.
UCCUAGCACAUGGACGUCGAACGUUAAAACGGGGCCACCCGCAAGUAGAGUGGGGGACGGGUGACCUCAAUACAUCGGAACGUGUCCAGAAAAGGGGGAUAACCUAACGAAAGUGACGCUAGUACCGGAUACAAUCUGCAGAUGAUACCGGGGGAUGCGCCAGUAAAAGCUAUGGGCAAACUACAGUCGCAUGCAAUCCAAUAGUUGAUGGUGCUGCACCUGCUCGUUAUUGGAGCGGCUGAUGUCUGAUUAACUACUGGGUGAUGUAGUGGCUUAGCAUCGCGACGAUCAGUAACUGGUCUGACAAGA